This 250-nucleotide ribosomal RNA is filed under the name uncultured bacterium. Its description in RNAcentral is "partial 16S ribosomal RNA". It matches the Rfam family "Bacterial small subunit ribosomal RNA", at positions 57 to 305 of the family's 1533-position model. The record is from RNAcentral.
GCAAGUCGAGCGGAAACGAGAAGUGCUUGCACUUCGGCGUCGAGCGGCGGACGGGUGAGUAAUGCUUGGGAAUAUGCCUUUUGGUGGGGGACAACAGUUGGAAACGACUGCUAAUACCGCAUAAUGUUUACGGACCAAAGCGGGGGACCUUCGGGCCUCGUGCCAAAAGAUUAGCCCAAGUGAGAUUAGCUAGUUGGUGGGGUAAAGGCCUACCAAGGCAACGAUCUCUAGCUGGUUUGAGAGGAUGAUC